UGCCUUUUAAACGCUUAUUCUGUCUCUUUCUAACUCCUUUGUCUCCGCCGGACUCGAGGUACCUGCUGGGUGGUGUGGGGCUGUUUUCCCCAACAGCUUUGUCUCCAAGCCCAACUUCAUAGAUGACACCCUGCCUGCUAGGCCAGAUGUUCUCUGGCCAAGAACACUAUUAUAGCUGCCUGGCUUCUCCCUGAGCAGCGUCAGGUGUGAGGAGUGUGCAUGGCAGCUGCCCAGCGACGGAUGGAAUCUUCCCCUGUCACCCAGGCUGGAGUGCAAUGGCACAAUCAGCUCACUGCAACCUCCGCCUCCUGGGUUCAAGUGAUUCUUCUGCCUCAGCCUCCCAAGUAGCUGGGACUACAGCCCUCAUUUCAGUCAACAACCACGUAACAGAUCAUCAAAAUACAUGAAGCAAAAACUGACAGAACUAAAGUUAAAUAUACAUAUCUACAAUUGUGGCGAGAAUAACAAACGAAAAAAUAUAACAAAAAUGUUCCACGCCUUGGUCAAUGGUACCACCAGCUAGCAAGGUUCCCAAGCCAAGAACUUUGGAAGCAUCCAUGAUUCUUCAUCUUCCACAUCCACUUUAUCACCAGAAGCACACAUUCAACUUUCUAAAUAUCCCUCAAACGGAUCCACGUCUUUCUAUCCACUUUUCUGAGCUAUCAUCAUGUCUUGCUUGAAUGACUUCCCCAGACCCAGCCGGUCUCCCGCCUCCAGCUCUGCCCCCUUCUGACUCCCUUUACAUGGUAUAAUCAGAGAGAUCUUUCCAAAACACAAAUCUGCUAUCACUGUUUUGCUUCAAGCCCUUUAGUGGCUCCUACUUCCAGCUGGAUGAGGUCCAAGCCUCUUAACAUGCUGUACGUGUACAUGCCUGACCCCUGCUACUUGACCAGACAAGUUUCUUCAUAGUGCUGUGUUUUUGUUCCCCCUGCCUAGAAUGUCCUUCCCCUUUUCUCUCGUUUCACGGUGUGCCAAACUCCUAUCCUGUGAGAUCCAGCUUACACGUCAGCUUCCCUGUGAUGCUUUUUCUAACUCCCUAUUCAGCCAGUGAAGUGCUCCCUGCAUUCCCAUGUGGCUUGUAUCUCUGUAAAAGCUCCACAGAGCUGUUUUAAUUUAUCUGUUAAUGUACACGUCUUCCCCACUAGACUUUUGCUCCGUAAAGAUAAAGUAUCUCCUUCAUCUCUGCUUUGCAUAACCUAACAUAGAGUUCAACACAUAGCAGUGUCUUAAUAAAUGCUGAAUAAAAGAAUUAAUAAAUAAAUGAAACAAUA
This 1271-nucleotide long non-coding RNA is filed under the name Pongo abelii (Sumatran orangutan). RNAcentral describes it as "lincRNA". The record is from RNAcentral. Lineage: Eukaryota; Metazoa; Chordata; Mammalia; Primates; Hominidae.